RNAcentral lists this ribosomal RNA (306 nucleotides) under Triticum aestivum (bread wheat). RNAcentral's name for it is "partial small subunit ribosomal RNA". Lineage: Eukaryota; Viridiplantae; Streptophyta; Magnoliopsida; Poales; Poaceae. The record is from RNAcentral.
GGAAGGGGGUGUCAACAAGACACAAAAGUGGAGUUAAAAUCUGUUUUGGGUGUCCAAUCUGAAGCUCUAAGCGAGAGAUAUUUGGGUCUUCCAACACUGGUUGGGCGAUCCAAGGACGGUACUUUCAAGUACCUGACCGAGAGUUCGAAAGGAAAAGUUGGUGGUUGGAAGGGACAGGGCUUAUCCAAGGCUGCCAGGGAUGUGCUAGUCAAAUCGGGCCUGCAAUCAGUACCGACUUUCACCAUGAGCUGCUUCCGUCUCACAAAGAAGACGUGCGGGAAACUGACUUCUAUUUCUUCUAAAUUC